UCAGUCGGCCGGACGGCCGCUCCCGCAACGGUCGAAAGGCCGCGGGGGAGGAAAGUCCGGGCUCCAUCGACAUGCGGUGCCGGAUAACGUCCGGCGGGGGGAACCCCAGGGAAAGUGCCACAGAGAACGAACCGCUCCCCACCCGAAAGGGAGGGGCAGUAAGGGUGAAAAGGUGCGGUAAGAGCGCACCGCGUUUCCGGCAACGGAAGCGGCAUGGCAAACCCCACCGGGAGCAAAACCGAAUAGGGACGGCAACGCGGGCAGUUCGCGAAAGCGAUAACGCCGCAGGGCGAUGUCAGGCCCGUCGUCCGGGUAGGUUGCUCGAGGCGAUGCGCAAGCAUAGUCCCAGAGGAAUGGCCGUCACGUAUCAUUCGCAAGAAUGGUGCCCUACAGAACCCGGCUUACAGGCUGGCUGAUAUC
RNAcentral lists this RNase P RNA (420 nucleotides) under Bradyrhizobium archetypum. RNAcentral's name for it is "Bradyrhizobium sp. WSM 1744 RNase P RNA component class A". It matches the Rfam family "Bacterial RNase P class A". From Rfam's summary of the family: Ribonuclease P (RNase P) is a ubiquitous endoribonuclease, found in archaea, bacteria and eukarya as well as chloroplasts and mitochondria. Its best characterised activity is the generation of mature 5'-ends of tRNAs by cleaving the 5'-leader elements of precursor-tRNAs. Lineage: Bacteria; Pseudomonadati; Pseudomonadota; Alphaproteobacteria; Hyphomicrobiales; Nitrobacteraceae. The record is from RNAcentral.